CCUACGGGGGGCAGCAGUGGGGAAUAUUGCACAAUGGGGGAAACCCUGAUGCAGCAACGCCGCGUGAGUGAUGAAGGCCUUCGGGUUGUAAAGCUCUGUCAGCAGGGACGAUAAUGACGGUACUUGAGGAGGAAGCCACGGCUAACUACGUGCCAGCAGCCGCGGUAAUACGUAGGUGGCGAGCGUUAUCCGGAUUUACUGGGCGUAAAGGGAGCGUAGGCGGACUUUUAAGUGAGAUGUGAAAUACUCGGGCUCAACUUGGGUACUGCAUUUGAAACUGGAAGGCUAGAGUGCAGGAGAGGAGAGUAGAAUUCCUGGUGUAGCGGUGAAAUGCGUAGAGAUUAGGAGGAACACCAGUGGCGAAGGCGAUUCUCUGGACUGUAACUGACGCUGAGGCUCGAAAGCGUGGGGAGCAAACAGGAUUAGAUACCCGAGUAGUC
This 440-nucleotide ribosomal RNA is filed under the name uncultured bacterium. Its description in RNAcentral is "partial 16S ribosomal RNA". It matches the Rfam family "Bacterial small subunit ribosomal RNA", at positions 338 to 795 of the family's 1533-position model. The record is from RNAcentral.